CCGCUUAUUUCUUGACCACAUUAAAACGUCGUUUACUGUUUUUAUGUACUCUUUAAAAAAACGUAGGGUAUAUUCAGAAACAAUACAAAACUGCGGAAAUGCGCUGCUGUUUUUAUUAGAAGUAACCAGUGUAUGUUAAUAACAGGCCAACGCCUGCUCAUGAACAUAAACAGUUCAUAUGGACGGCUUAUCUGACGGCCCCAUUUCACUCGCAAAGCGAUACAGAGAGAGAGAGAGAAAUGGAGUUUAACGUCUACUCAACACAAACUAGGUCAUUUCGGGACUAGCACAUGGUUCAAUUUUAUUUCAAUAAUGCACUUGCGCGUAGGGGUCUUUAGCAGUGGGAGGAAACCGGAGGACCCGGAGAAACCCACGAGGUUGGACAGGCGACCCUACUCCUUGUCACAUACAACCAGGGAAUCGAAAAUUUAAUAAUGUUUGCAAAUUGGCAAUGAAUGAAAUUGUUUCAAAAUUAAAAAUCAAAGCUUUGCUUUAGUCAAGAUCAUCAUUUCAAUCAGAUUACGACUAAAUCUAUGUGUAAUUUUUUUUGUUUUUUGUGAACUGAGUAUCAUAAGGGCCUGACAGAAUUACAGUUUAAUUUACCGGUAACUUCUUUUUUAUUUCAGAAAUACCAUUUUCCGACCUUUUGAUCCUUCAAAAAUACCCAAAGUGAAAGGGCCGAAGAAUCGUUCAUUUUCUAUUAGUAUUAUGGCACCGUUUAACAUGAGGAACCAAAAGAAAGUGAACCCAAGAAAUUAGGAUGUUGGCAAAAGAGUGUUGGUGUGAUGGGAAUUAGCCAAUCGAAAAAAGGUCUAGCUAAAUUAAUUCUGAAAAAGAAACUAAAAGUAGUAUCAACACAAACAUCUGUUAAAUCUGAAUGUUUCUCUUACUACAGCAUCCAACCAAUCAGAAUCUGUGAUACAAAAUACAGCGUUUAAAUCAAAA
This is a long non-coding RNA of Patella vulgata (common limpet), 945 nucleotides long. RefSeq lists it as uncharacterized. The record is from RefSeq and is a predicted model, not a curated record. The transcript is spliced from 2 exons. Lineage: Eukaryota; Metazoa; Mollusca; Gastropoda; Patellidae.